UGGGGAAUAUUGGACAAUGGGCGAAAGCCUGAUCCAGCCAUGCCGCGUGUGUGAAGAAGGUCUUCGGAUUGUAAAGCACUUUAAGUUGGGAGGAAGGGCAGUAAAUUAAUACUCUGCAAUUUUGACGUUACCGACAGAAUAAGCACCGGCUAACUCUGUGCCAGCAGCCGCGGUAAUACAGAGGGUGCAAGCGUUAAUCGGAAUUACUGGGCGUAAAGCGCGCGUAGGUGGUUAGUUAAGUUGGAUGUGAAAUCCCCGGGCUCAACCUGGGAACUGCAUUCAAAACUGACUGACUAGAGUAUGGUAGAGGGUGGUGGAAUUUCCUGUGUAGCGGUGAAAUGCGUAGAUAUAGGAAGGAACACCAGUGGCGAAGGCGACCACCUGGACUGAUACUGACACUGAGGUGCGAAAGCGUGGGGAGCAAACAGGAUUAGAUACCCCCGUAGUCCCUGAGCGGGCUGGCAAGGCGCAU
This 472-nucleotide ribosomal RNA is filed under the name uncultured bacterium. RNAcentral's name for it is "bacterial SSU rRNA". It matches the Rfam family "Bacterial small subunit ribosomal RNA", at positions 355 to 825 of the family's 1533-position model. The record is from RNAcentral.